This 1247-nucleotide ribosomal RNA is filed under the name Neocentrocnemis stali. Its description in RNAcentral is "16S ribosomal RNA". The stretch from base 808 to 1180 matches the Rfam family "Archaeal large subunit ribosomal RNA", at positions 2151 to 2715 of the family's 2987-position model. Lineage: Eukaryota; Metazoa; Arthropoda; Insecta; Hemiptera; Reduviidae. The record is from RNAcentral.
AAGGAUUAUUUUAUUUAAAAAAAGUAAAAUUUAAAUAAAAAGAAUUAUUAUUUUAGUACUUUUAUUAAAAAUAAAUUUUAUAAUGAUAGCUUAUUGUACUGUAAAGGAUUAUUUUAUUUGAGAUAAAAGAAUUUUUGUUUAAGGUACCUUUUGUAUCAGGGUCAAUUAAAAAUUUAUAAUUAUUUAUGUUUCCCGAAAUGAAGUGAUCUAUAAAAUUAUGGAGCUUGUAAUUUCAAAUAUAUUUGGAAUAAUUUUAUAGGGAUUAUAUAUUUUUCAAACUUCAUAUAUCUGGUUUAUUGAGAAUCGAAUUAAAUUCGAUUGGCAUUUAUUGUUUGAAAUUAUUUAAUUUUAAUGCUAAAAAAGUUGGUUGGGGAUAAGCUCAAUUAUUAUUUUAUAAUUUGUUUGAUGAGAUUUAUAUUUUCUAGGCUUGAAAGCAGCCGUGAAUUAAUUCGUUAUUGAAAAUUAUCUUUUGUAAUUUUUAUUUCUUUAUAUUUAAUUUUAUAUCAAUAUUAUUUAAAUAAUUUAUAAUUAAAUGUAAUAAUGAUUGAAUUAGUAAUAAAGCUAUUUAUAAUACAGGAAUUCGGCAAAUUUAACUUUCACCUGUUUAUCAAAAACAUGUCCUUUUGUUUUUAUUUAAGGUCUGACCUGCCCAAUGAUUUAUGAAUGGCCGCGGUAUUUUAACCGUGCAAAGGUAGCAUAAUCAUUUGUCUUUUAAUUGAAGGCUAGAAUGAAUGGUUGCAUGAAAGGUUAACUUUCUUUAUUAUAAUUUUUGAAUUUUACUUUCCUGUAAAAAGGCAGGAUUGAGUUUAAGGGACGAGAAGACCCUAUAGAAUUUUAUUCCUUUUUUUUGAGGAUUAAUUUUUGGUUUAUUUUACUUAAUCCUCAAAAAAAAUGGUAUUAAGUUGGGGUGACUUAAAUAUUUCAUUAACUUUUUAUAUCUAUUUAUCGUGAAUUAGCGUAAUUAUUUGAUCCAUUAAAUAAUGAUAAGAAGAUUAAAUUACCUUAGGGAUAACAGCGUAAUUUCUUUGGAGAGUUCUUAUCGAUAAAGGAGUUUGCGACCUCGAUGUUGGAUUAAAAUUAGUUUUAGGCGUAGCCGUUUAAUAUCUAGGUCUGUUCGACCUUUAAUUUUUUACAUGAUCUGAGUUCAGACCGGCGUGAGCCAGGUCGGUUUCUAUCUUUAUAUUUUAAAUUCUUAGUACGAGAGGACCAGUUUUUGUAAUUAAAUUAUGAUUUUUUGAAUUAAAUUA